GCAAAAUUCAUAUAACAAAUAUUGGUUUACACAGUAGCAAAAAUGCACAAAUAGCUUCAGUUACUAACCAUCAAUGUGAAUAUAUGAUAGAACAAAUAGAAAACACAGUAUCAGGAAGCCAAAUACAAGGUUCAGGAGCACAAAUAGCAUCACAAAUACAUGGUGCAGGUCCCAGAAGCACAAAUACAAGGUUCAGGAGCAGAAAUACAAGGUUCAGGAUCUUCAGGUGCACAAAUAGCAGCAGAAAUACAAGGUUCAGCAGCAGCACAAAUACACAAAUACAAGGUUCAGGUUGAGUAGUUGUGUGCCAACAAGCUAGCACUAGCAAGUAGUAGUGUAGCAGCCCAUGGAUAAAUGUAAAUAGCAGCAUGUAGUAGUGUAGCACGCCGGGUCGUCGGCCUUCUCGUCACAACCAAGCAGCAACAACACCAUCAUAGAGUCAUGUUUCAGGCUUCGGUUAAGAUGGAUUGAUCAUCAACCUCCUGAAAC
Molecule: long non-coding RNA, 489 nt
Filed under: Triticum aestivum (bread wheat)
Lineage: Eukaryota; Viridiplantae; Streptophyta; Magnoliopsida; Poales; Poaceae
Description: long non-coding RNA (TAES_LNC013132)
Source: RNAcentral